This 75-nucleotide transfer RNA is filed under the name Paracoccaceae bacterium. Its description in RNAcentral is "Rhodobacteraceae bacterium tRNA-Val". It matches the Rfam family "tRNA". From Rfam's summary of the family: Transfer RNA (tRNA) molecules are approximately 80 nucleotides in length. Their secondary structure includes four short double-helical elements and three loops (D, anti-codon, and T loops). Lineage: Bacteria; Pseudomonadati; Pseudomonadota; Alphaproteobacteria; Rhodobacterales; Paracoccaceae. The record is from RNAcentral. RNAcentral also lists the same sequence under 3 other names.
GGGCGAUUAGCUCAGUGGUAGAGCGCUUCGUUCACAUCGAAGAUGUCGGCAGUUCGAAUCUGUCAUCGCCCACCA